CGGAUAUUUAAGUCAGAUGUGAAAACCCCGGGCUUAACUUGGGGACUGCAUUUGAAACUGGAUAUCUAGAGUGCAGGAGAGGAAAGCGGAAUUCCUAGUGUAGCGGUGAAAUGCGUAGAGAUUAGGAAGAACACCAGUGGCGAAGGCGGCUUUCUGGACUGUAACUGACGCUGAGGCACGAAAGCGUGGGUAGCAAACAGGAUUAGAUACCCUGGUAGUCCACGCCGUAAACGAUGAGUACUAGGUGUAGGAGGUAUCGACCCCUUCUGUGCCGCAGUAAACACAAUAAGUACUCCGCCUGGGAAGUACGAUCGCAAGAUUAAAACUCAAAGGAAUUGACGGGGGCCCGCACAAGCAGCGGAGCAUGUGGUUUAAUUCGAAGCAACGCGAAGAACCUUACCUGGACUUGACAUCCCCUGAAUAACCUAGAGAUAGGCGAAGCCCUUCGGGGCAGGGAGACAGGUGGUGCAUGGUUGUCGUCAGCUCGUGUCGUGAGAUGUUAGGUUAAGUCCUGCAACGAGCGCAACCCCUAUUGUUAGUUGCUAACAUUAAGUUGAGCACUCUAAUAAGACUGCCCGGGUUAACCGGGAGGAAGGUGGGGAUGACGUCAAAUCAUCAUGCCCCUUAUGUCCAGGGCCACACACGUGCUACAAUGGUGAGUACAACAAGAAGCGAACCCGCGAGGGGGAGCAAAACUUAUAAAACUCAUCCCAGUUCGGAUUGUAGGCUGAAACUCGCCUACAUGAAGCUGGAGUUGCUAGUAAUCGCGAAUCAGCAUGUCGCGGUGAAUACGUUCCCGGGCCUUGUACACACCGCCCGUC
RNAcentral lists this ribosomal RNA (821 nucleotides) under uncultured bacterium. Its description in RNAcentral is "bacterial SSU rRNA". It matches the Rfam family "Bacterial small subunit ribosomal RNA", at positions 576 to 1398 of the family's 1533-position model. The record is from RNAcentral.